UACGUAGGGUGCGAGCGUUAUCCGGAAUCAUUGGGCGUAAAGAGCUCGUAGGCGGUUCAGCAAGUCGGCUGUGAAAGUCUGAGGCUCAACCUCAGAAUUGCAGUCGAUACUGCUGUGACUCGAGUCCGGUAGAGGAGAAUGGAAUUCCCGGUGUAGCGGUGAAAUGCGCAGAUAUCGGGAGGAACACCAGUAGCGAAGGCGGUUCUCUGGGCCGGCACUGACGCUGAGGCACGAAAGCGUGGGUAGCGAACAGG
This 254-nucleotide ribosomal RNA is filed under the name uncultured bacterium. RNAcentral's name for it is "partial 16S ribosomal RNA". It matches the Rfam family "Bacterial small subunit ribosomal RNA", at positions 524 to 776 of the family's 1533-position model. The record is from RNAcentral.